RNAcentral lists this ribosomal RNA (497 nucleotides) under uncultured bacterium. RNAcentral describes it as "partial 16S ribosomal RNA". It matches the Rfam family "Bacterial small subunit ribosomal RNA", at positions 28 to 507 of the family's 1533-position model. The record is from RNAcentral.
GAUGAACGCUGGCGGCGUGCCUAAUACAUGCAAGUCGAGCGAACAGACGAGGAGCUUGCUCCUCUGACGUUAGCGGCGGACGGGUGAGUAACACGUGGAUAACCUACCUAUAAGACUGGGAUAACUUCGGGAAACCGGAGCUAAUACCGGAUAAUAUAUUGAAUCGCAUGGUUCAAUAGUGAAAGACGGUUUUGCUGUCACUUAUAGAUGGAUCCGCGCCGCAUUAGCUAGUUGGUAAGGUAACGGCUUACCAAGGCAACGAUGCGUAGCCGACCUGAGAGGGUGAUCGGCCACACUGGAACUGAGACACGGUCCAGACUCCUACGGGAGGCAGCAGUAGGGAAUCUUCCGCAAUGGGCGAAAGCCUGACGGAGCAACGCCGCGUGAGUGAUGAAGGUCUUCGGAUCGUAAAACUCUGUUAUUAGGGAAGAACAAAUGUGUAAGUAACUAUGCACGUCUUGACGGUACCUAAUCAGAAAGCCACAGCUAACUACGUG